AAUAUUCCCGAACCUAGUCAUGGAAAUAGCCUAUUCUUCGGAGUAGGCAAAUGCGGUAACGCAAAUCAGCUAAGAGAUGCUGCCAUAAGUCCUGGGGAGAGUUGUCUUUUCUUUGUAAGGAUCCAAGUCCCUGGAAUCGGUUUGACCGGAGAUAGGGAUGUAGGAACCGUAAAGCACCGCGGCUCUUGCGGUGUCCAGAGCGCUUAUGGUGGCCCUUGAAAAUCUUAGCUGGAGAUGAUUAUUUUCAUGCUAGACCGUACCCAUAUCCGCAGCAGGUCUCCAAGGUGAACAGCCUCUGGUCUCUAGAAUAAUGUAGAUAAGGGAAGUCGGCAAAGCAGAUCCGUAACUUCGGGAUAAGGAUUGGCUCUGAAGACUGAGCUGGUCGGGCUGAGGUCUGAAGCAAGUUAUGCAUUGCGCCGAGACUGGGUGCGGAAGGCAUAGUCUGAUGUGUUGGUGAGGCGAGAUGUGUUUAUCCUUUCGGGUAGCAUGUCUUUGCUUUUGCCUUCAUACUUGGGCUGUGUUGGACAAUCCUGGACUCGAGUCUUUGCGAUCUUGUCGAUAGUCUCAGCUAGGCCCUUUCAGGAAGAUUGGCUCGCAAGGGUCUUUGGACUUGGAAGGUGUUCUUUUCGGCCAGCAAAAGACAGUUGAAUCAGAACUGGCACGGACCCAGGGAAUCCGACUGUCUAAUUAAAACAAAGCAUUGCGAUGGCCGGUGAACGGUGUUGACGCAAUGUGAUUUCUGCCCAGUGCUAUGAAUGUCAAAGUGAAGAGAAAUUCAACAACCAAGCGCGGGUAAAGCGGCGGGAGUAACUAUGACUCUCUUAAGGUAGCCAAAUGCCUCGUCAUCUAAUUAGUGACGCGCAUGAAUGGAUUAACUAGAUUCCCACUGUCCCUGUCUACUAUCCAGCGAAACCACAGUCAAGGGAACGGGCUUGGCAGAAUCAGCGGGGAAAGAAGACCCUGUUGAGCUUGACUCUAGUCCGACUUUGUGAAAUGACUUGAGAGGUGUAGAUAAGCGACUCUAGUCCGACUUUGUGAAAUGACUUGAGAGGUGUAGAUAAGUGGGAGCUCAAAAGGCGAAAGUGAAAUACCACUACGUUUAACGUUAUUUUACUUAUUCCGUGAAUCGGAAGCGGGGCACUGCCCCUCUUUUUGGACCGAAGGCUCGCUUAUGCGGGUCGAUCCGGGCGGAAGACACUCAGGUGGGGAGUUUGGGCUGGGUCGGCACACCUGUUAAAAGAUAACGCAGGUUGUCCUAAGAUGAGCUCAACGAAGAACGAAAUCUCGUGUGGAACAGAAGGGUAAAAGCUCGUUUGAUUCUGAUUUCCAGUACGAAUACGAACCGUGAAGCGUGGCCUAACGAUCCUUUAGGACCUUCGGAAUUUGAACUAGAGGUGUCAGAAAAGUUACCACAGGGAUAACUUGGCCUGUGGCAGCCAAGC
This 1442-nucleotide ribosomal RNA is filed under the name Vaccinium virgatum. RNAcentral's name for it is "eukaryotic LSU rRNA". It matches the Rfam family "Eukaryotic large subunit ribosomal RNA", at positions 1612 to 2849 of the family's 3401-position model. The record is from RNAcentral. Lineage: Eukaryota; Viridiplantae; Streptophyta; Magnoliopsida; Ericales; Ericaceae.